CGGAAUAACCAGAAUAAUUGGCAGCCGGUACACGAACAGCCACCAACGCGACUCCACGCUUCGCAAUGCGCUCGCUUCAAGGUCGAAUCCAUCUUGCCAACCCUAUACGUCUAUUAUUCAAUUUACGUCGGCCCUUUCGACGUUCUCAAUUGAUAAUGAAAAGAUGAAUUGAUUUAAGACACAAUAUACGUGAUAGAAAUCAGGGAGCCUUAACGAAUAACGUCGCGUUAGAAUUUUUUAAAUAUUCAGGUAAGGAUAAUGAUGCCGAAAUGAAAUAAAUGAAAAGAAAUAAUAUUACAAUAAAUAAUCUGUUAAUUAAUAAUGGAAAUAGUGGUAAGAUGAGAUAAAUGAAACGGAAAGAUCUAUUGUAGGGUCUUUUUACACCUUGCGACUAAUUUUAACCAUUUUUUAUGUAUAUCUUUUAGAAAACAUGAUUAUUCCAAUUUUCUGCUAAAUAUCUUCGAUUUUCAUUGUCUAAUUCAUAAAUAUUUAUGAAUUCUUGAAUCAAUAUGCGAUUUCAUUAAUUGCAUGAAUAAGUUUCCAUUAUAUUAAUCGGAUUAUGUUAAUAUUGCAUUAAUCGAAUUGUAACUAAUUGGAUUUUAAUUUAUUUAUAUAAAUUAAUCUGCCUCGUCUGUUAAUCCAGGACUUACAUACACAAAUCUCCAGAGAACAUAAACAGAAUACGAUCAAUCAUGAAACAUUUAAGAAAUAUUAGAAUGUUCUAGCCUCGUAAGAAACGAAAAAAGAAAAUCAAUUUCUCGGUUUAAAAAGAUUUAUCAGUGGCCAUCCGAGUUCCAAUAAUAUUCUGAAGAUUUUUGUAUGCUUUAUAUUAUGAUUAUAUAAUGUCAGUACUUAAUGUUGAAAUAUUUUGCUUCCAUUUACUAUAUUAUUUUUACAAAAGUAACCAGAAUAUAUCGUGUUUGGAAAUAUGUAUAUGUAUAAUAGGUGAAUUUAAAAAGGUAAAUUGUGUCGAUGAAUGAGAUAUGUAUAGAGGUCGCCACGUAUACGUGGUUUUACCGUUAGCACCUUCGGUGGAGCGUCGCGUCGGUGGAAAAAAAAGAUUCACUGAAAUCAACCUAGAAACCUACUUCAGCGCGGAACACGUUAGCCCUAGUGAAAACGAACACGCCGUGCGGGCACCGUUCAUCUUUUUACACUCGUAUAUCGCAAUCCGAGACAAGUGAAACUCGCCAUCGUUGUGCAUUCCCCUCUCCCCAUUUCGAUGUUAAGGUGCAAAUACUUGACGCAUAAGAACAUACGGUCGACCUAACCUCACUUUUGUACUGCUUGGAAGCAGUUUAGGUUAAUGACCUAGAAAUGAGAUUAAAUUGGAUAAAAAUCAACUCCUUGGCCUCUUGCAGGUACAGAAACUCGGACAAUCUGUUUUCCAGAGGAAUCGGUCUUCGUUCUGGGAUACAAAGAGUGGAAAAUAUUUAUUCGCAAAACGUCCCUAUCGUUUUCAUUGGCUAUAUAAUAUUUUAUCCGCUAAAAUUCUGGAAGUGUCUAGACACAAGACAAGGCGGGGCAUAUUAUCACGGGAAAGCAAUAUGUAAGUUCAAUGAAGCGUGCAGAAUGGAUACAGGUGUUCCCUGUUUGAGAAAGAUAAGUCACACGGGCACGUGACCGAAUUAUUAUACACGAGCGUAUAAAUUAAGGAGAUACGUUGGAACUGGGAUUAAGAAACUACACUGAGAAAUGCAACCCUGUUGCGUUAUUUCAGACACCGUCGAGCCAAUUGUAUUUUUCUAAGGUUAAAGAAUAUCUCGAGUCUGAUCGAUUCACGCGAUUUCUCAAUGUUUCGGUUUUACGUUAACUGUUUUCUUAGGACGUCGCUUGACUCGAACUGUUUGAAUUGAUCAAUUCAAUAGAAUCUUUUGUUGUCACAGCUGCAUAAGAUUUAAUAAAUUUCAUAAUUCAAUUAGAUGUAAUUCUUCAGCGACAAUUAAGAGAUGCGUUCAUAGAACAUAGUAAAUAUUUGAUCUUUAAAAAGUUGAAAUAGAUUUAUCAGGCAAAGCUGAAGAAGCACUCUUUCGCUUUCCUGUGAGAAAACAAACACGAACAAGUGUUUCUGUUACGAAUCCUCUCUUUUUAAGAUGUACACUUCUCCAUCACUUCUUUGUCACUCUAACUUUGACAAGUUAGCCCCACCACGAUAUUCUACGGACUUGGAAUGCAAAAUAGUAAAAGAAUUAAGAGAAUGAAAAAUUUGUCUUUUUAGUAUUGACAGAGCGCAAUCCUUAAAAGCGCCAUGAAAGUCAAUCGAACAUAUUUCACGUUCACGUUUCUAUUUUCUACUAAGUAGAGUUCUUCUUUUUCUUCUUCUUCUUCUACUAAGUAGUUCUUCUAAGUAGAGUAAUUGAAUCGGCCACGAAUAUACUAGCUACUAUGCUGCGAGCUUACUUUGCGAUUACAGAGAAUAACCCACCCUUCCUGGAAGCGGAAUUCUUUUUCCGCUUAUCAACGUGGUCGUGAUCCGAUAGAAAUCGAUGAGCGAUAAGAACUUCCGUUUUGGAGCGAAAUCGCCAGCAAAGUGGACUUUGCGUAGAUACUGAGAUUGUAAUUCGUCGUGGAAGCUCUUUUUUUAAACGAUUUCUUGCACAUACGCUCCUGGAAAUACUUCAACGUUUACCACGAAGGACGCUUACGUCUAUGUUGUAUGUGUUAAAUGUACGAGACAUUUUAAAAUUUCUUUAAUACGUUAACGAGACACCACUGUCACGGUUAUAUUGGUGAAAUUUCGUAAAAAUCCGAAAAUGUAUACAGAAAUUACACGAUAUUAUCUGUUGUAAAUGUAUAUUCAGUGAAAACAUGGAAUAUCUAUUUGAAAUGUAUAUGUAAGAAGCGUUGCCGAGAUGGAGCGUCAGAGACUCCGCAGGUGCAAUCUUCCUUACUCUCUUUCAUUCUGUUUGUAACUAAACAGCUUCGUAUUUCUUCUACCUUUCGACAUCAGAUACUACGAUGCACGCAUUCACGCAAAUACACCAAAAUGUGUACUAAAAAUAAUCCUGUGUACACUUGCUAUAAACCAAUAAAGCUCUUCUUCAAAAAGUUUCGUCAUUACCAAGUGAUAGCAAUUGUCCGUAAAAUAGGAGCCGCAAGGCGAUCCGAAUUCUUAGAACAAUUAAUCACUCCGACCAAUUUGCUGUUUUGUCGUUGGUUGGCGUCUAAGUCUCGAACGCCAGCCAACAAAGUCCUAAGGUAAAAGAGAACUUUCAUUUCGACGCGAACUCGAAUUUAUCCAGAAGCAUACAUCAUACGACACACUCGGAAACGUUCGUAUAUUUCAGCCACGGCUGGAACUCGUGCAAUUUUCCUACCAUGAAGUUGCACGCAUCUCUUUAUUGGUAAUUGAUAAGAAACGCGUUAAAGCAACGGUUACGUCAUGCAAGCAAAUGAAAACUAUUGGACAAGAAUAAAAUUGUUAUUGCAACUCGAUCUUAUCGCAUCAGGCAACGGGGAAAGAGAACAUUUUCACGAACAAAAUGAAUAUUUCGAAUUGGAUCCGGACACGCACAUUAUAUCGCCAUUUGCAAUUUCGAAAAUUGAAACAUUGAUCUCGCAUCAAGAUUCUACGAGCAUAAAGAGGAAAACCACGCGAAACAAACGUAUUUCAGGCUAUGGUGUCGGAUUGUAAUCAGUCCGUUUCUUUCCACCGAUGUUUGAUUCGUAAUUGCGUUAGCGGUCGAUGUAAUUUCCAACUUUGAACGCUGUUUGCUCUCGUGCAUCUCGUUUCUGAGUCUUCGUAGUACCGUACGCGGCGUAAAACAAGAGAAGUAUAACAAAAUGUAAACGUAUUAUUGUAAAAGCUUAAGGAUACUUAAAAGUAAAAAGAUACUACAAAUCACACGUGAAAAACUCUGCGAUUCUUUGUUACGGAUAUAUAUAUUUUGUUCUUUUAUAUACAAGGUGGUUGGUAACUGGUGGUACAAGCGGAAAGGGGGCGAUUCUACGCGAAAAAAGAAGUCGAAAAUAUAGAAUAAACAUUUUUCGUUCGAGGCUUUGUUUUCGAGAAAAUCGACUUUGAAUUUUCGGUCGGUACGCGUGCGCUUUAUCACGUCUCGUUAUAACGGAUCUCACUGUAGAUCGUUGUCUCGAUUGACGUUACUUUUUUAAAUUUUUAAAUUUUUUUUAAA
Molecule: long non-coding RNA, 4133 nt
Organism: Bombus huntii
Lineage: Eukaryota; Metazoa; Arthropoda; Insecta; Hymenoptera; Apidae
Exons: 3
Source: RefSeq, a predicted model, not a curated record